UAGGGAAUUUUUCACAAUGGGCGAAAGCCUGAUGGAGCGAUGCCGCGUGCAGGAUGAAGGUCUUCGGAUCGUAAACUGCUGUUAUAAGGGAAGAACGAUCAGGGGAGGAAAUGACCCUGAAGUGACGGUACCUUAUCAGAAAGCCCCGGCUAACUACGUGCCAGCAGCCGCGGUGAAACGUAGGGGGCGAGCGUUAUCCGGAAUUAUUGGGCGUAAAGGGUGCGUAGGCGGUCUAUUAAGUCCGAUGUGAAAGACCACAGCUUAACUGUGGAGGCGCAUUGGAAACUGGUGGACUUGAGUAUGGUAGAGGUAAGCGGAAUUUCCAGUGUAGCGGUGAAAUGCGUAGAUAUUGGAAGGAACACCAGUGGCGAAGGCGGCUUACUGGGCCAUUACUGACGCUGAGGCACGAAAGCGUGGGGAGCAAAUAGG
Molecule: ribosomal RNA, 429 nt
Filed under: uncultured bacterium
Lineage: Bacteria
Description: bacterial SSU rRNA
Rfam family: Bacterial small subunit ribosomal RNA
Source: RNAcentral